GAUGAACGCUGACAGAAUGCUUAACACAUGCAAGUCAACUUGAACUUCGGUUUGGGUGGCGGACGGGUGAGUAACGCGUAAAGAACUUGCCUCACAGCUAGGGACAACAUUUGGAGACGAAUGCUAAUACCUGAUAUUAUGAUUAUAUGGCAUCGUAUAAUUAUGAAAGCUAUAUGCGCUGUGAGAGAGCUUUGCGUCCCAUUAGCUAGUUGGAGAGGUAACAGCUCACCAAGGCGAUGAUGGGUAGCCGGCCUGAGAGGGUGAUCGGCCACAAGGGGACUGAGACACGGCCCUUACUCCUACGGGAGGCAGCAGUGGGGAAUAUUGGACAAUGGACCGAGAGUCUGAUCCAGCAAUUCUGUGUGCACGAUGAAGUUUUUCGGAAUGUAAAGUGCUUUCAGUUGGGAAGAAAAAAAUGACGGUACCAACAGAAGAAGUGACGGCUAAAUACGUG
RNAcentral lists this ribosomal RNA (454 nucleotides) under uncultured bacterium. Its description in RNAcentral is "partial 16S ribosomal RNA". It matches the Rfam family "Bacterial small subunit ribosomal RNA", at positions 28 to 507 of the family's 1533-position model. The record is from RNAcentral.